This is a non-coding RNA of Cucurbita pepo subsp. pepo (vegetable marrow), 1843 nucleotides long. The record is from RefSeq and is a predicted model, not a curated record. NCBI's taxonomy places the organism in Eukaryota, Viridiplantae, Streptophyta, Magnoliopsida, Cucurbitales, Cucurbitaceae.
GCGAGCGGCGAGCGGCGACAGCUCCUUCUGGAUGGGUGUGGCGCGAGAUCGAUGGCGGUGAAAAUCGACGGGAGAUGGUGAAGCAAAAUGAAAACAACUACAACGAAAUUGAAUGAUUGCGAUGGAAUUGGAAUAUGCAAGGAAGAAUGAGCCCUAAACCAAAACAAUCGCGAUGGAGCCGAUUCUUUGCGCCAAACGUGAAGUUUGAGCCAACAUUCGAGCAAGUUUGAUGCAAGAAUGGUUGUAAGUUGUCAUAGUCUCAUUUAUUUUGAUUAUUUUAGUUCAUAUUCUCACAUGAGUACAUGAAUUAUUUUGAUUCAUAAAUGAGAAAUAGUAUUAAUAUGCUUAUAUAAAUGGCUUGUAAUUAUUUUGAGGCGUGGAGUCAUUGCUAUUUUGUAUUUGGCUAAUGAUAUUUGGGUUUAGGUAUGAAGUUAUUGUCAUUUAGUAUUUGCCUAACGGAACUUUGUUGAAAAUUUUUGUAGCAUGAGAGUGUGAGAGAUACACAUUAUAAACACUUCAAUUAUAGUGAUUGGCUAUCACGGUGGACGUAGGAGAAUUUUUUCUCUCCGGCUAAGUCUCUUUGUUUAAUUUUUGUUUGUGGUUGUGUGAGUGCGAUUGAUCUUACUUUGCUUCGGCUAGAAUAAUUGGGUAUCUAUCGUGGUAUGCAUUUAUUGAAAAUAGAUGAAUUAAAAUUGGAUAACUGAAAAUAAAAGCCCAAAAAAAGAAAAGGGUGUGUUGAGAAUGUGAGAUGGAAAUGAAAAGAGAAGAGGCGAGAGGGAAGACAAUGGCGACAGUUUUGUUUGGUGAGACAACAACGUCCUGAGAGAGAGACGUAUGUGCUGACAAGCUCCGCCGAAAGAUAAGCCCUUCUCCUCUUUCUUUUCAAAUAAACAUUAUUCAAUUUCAACAUAAUUGCGUUAUCUUCUUGGCGUUUUUCAGCAGCAAAUCGAUUCAUUAGUUUUAAAUUACAUACAGCGUUUGGAUUUGAUUCUCAAUGGGUUUUUUCUGUUUUUUUUAUAAAGGAAGAUGAGUGGGCAAAGCGAAUGGUCCAAAACGCACGCCAAGUGUUUGUGAAAAUGUUUGCGUCAUUUAGACACGCCAAUGGCAUCGGUUGGGCGGACAGGGUGAAAGAGGCGUACUGCCAGCGCCGCCCAUGGGCGGAUUAUUCAUCAUGCCUGACUCAUCUCCACAUGAUAAGCGAAGGGUUAGCUUUUCCCCGACUACUUUUGCUUGCUGUGUUACAUGGAGCAUAUAUUUUAGCAUAACUGGCAGAAAGCAAUAUCCUCACUAGACUCAGCUUGAGCCUUGACUAAACUGCUCGAAUAACUAAAUCAAAGAUUUCUCUAUGAUUUGAUGUAUCAAUAUCUAUGUCGCGUUACCCAUCAAAUCUAAGAGGCACUGUUUUGUUUUAAGCUGGUUGGAGCCAAAUUUACAGAAGACAGCAGGGCAAUAUGGCACCUUCACCUUGAAGGGAACAAGUGAAGGUGAGUUCAAGGAUUCUACUGCUAGGCCAACAGUAAAUGCUAGGAGUAAACUAAUGCGAGGAUAUUGCGAAGGAAAUACGACUUCAAUAUAUGGAAUACAGGGCAAUCAAGAAAUAUUUCCUCAAAAGGCCAUAAUGUGUCAGAAAAUAUAGCUGGGAUAAUACAGUAACUCCUAGCUCUCAGGUGCUUUUCUGGGACUCUUUUGAGUCAGUAUCAGGCUGUCAACAAAUCUUUUAAAGCUUUCUUGAUGACACUAGAGACUUUUAAGAGAAGUAAUAGCAUUGAAACUAUAUAUAUAUAUAUACACUUUGAUUAAAGAAAAGCUGGAAGCUUGCUGAUAAAAUAUUACAAUCUGUGUA